Molecule: ribosomal RNA, 468 nt
Filed under: uncultured bacterium
Lineage: Bacteria
Description: partial 16S ribosomal RNA
Rfam family: Bacterial small subunit ribosomal RNA
Source: RNAcentral
GACGAACGCUGGCGGCGUGCUUAACACAUGCAAGUCGAACGGAAAGGCCCUGCUUUUGUGGGGUGCUCGAGUGGCGAACGGGUGAGUAACACGUGAGUAACCUGCCCUUGACUUUGGGAUAACUUCAGGAAACUGGGGCUAAUACCGGAUAGGAGCUCCUGCUGCAUGGUGGGGGUUGGAAAGUUUCGGCGGUUGGGGAUGGACUCGCGGCUUAUCAGCUUGUUGGUGGGGUAGUGGCUUACCAAGGCUUUGACGGGUAGCCGGCCUGAGAGGGUGACCGGCCACAUUGGGACUGAGAUACGGCCCAGACUACUACGGGAGGCAGCAGUGGGGAAUAUUGCACAAUGGGCGGAAGCCUGAUGCAGCAACGCCGCGUGCGGGAUAACGGCCUUAGGGUUGUAAACCGCUUUCGCCUGUGACGAAGCGUGAGUGACGGUAAUGGGUAAAGAAGCACCGGCUAACUACGUG